UACGGAGGCCUCGAGCGUUAGGCGGAAUCACUGGGCUUAAAGCGUGUGUAGGCGGAUCGUUAAGUACCUUGUGAAAUCCCACGGCUUAACCAUGGAAUUGCUUGGUAUACUGGCGAUCUUGAGCCACCUAGGGGCGAGCGGAACAAAUGGUGGAGCGGUGAAAUGCGUAGAUAUCAUUUGGAACGCCAAUGGUGAAAACAGCUCGCUGGGGGUGUGCUGACGCUGAGACACGAAAGCCAGGGGAGCAAACGGG
This 253-nucleotide ribosomal RNA is filed under the name uncultured bacterium. RNAcentral describes it as "partial 16S ribosomal RNA". It matches the Rfam family "Bacterial small subunit ribosomal RNA", at positions 524 to 776 of the family's 1533-position model. The record is from RNAcentral.